AGACUUACCUGGCAGGGGAAAUGUCAUGAUCACGGGGGUGGUUUUCCCAGGGCCAGGCUCACCCAUUGCACUGUGGGUGCGCUGACCCUCUGCGAUUUCCCCAAAUGUGGGAAACUCAGCUGCGUAAUUUGUGGUAGCGGGGGACUGCAUCCGUGCCCUCCUUAA
Tupaia belangeri (northern tree shrew) is the source of this 165-nucleotide small nuclear RNA. Its record names the gene U1. It matches the Rfam family "U1 spliceosomal RNA". From Rfam's summary of the family: U1 is a small nuclear RNA (snRNA) component of the spliceosome (involved in pre-mRNA splicing). Its 5' end forms complementary base pairs with the 5' splice junction, thus defining the 5' donor site of an intron. NCBI's taxonomy places the organism in Eukaryota, Metazoa, Chordata, Mammalia, Scandentia, Tupaiidae. The record is from Ensembl.